CUCAUUUUCUCCACCGUGACACAAAAGCACCGAAAGUGUGGAUUCGGAGCAAAAUUGAAGGUUAUGUAUUCUUUAUGGUGAGAUGAUCAAUUGUAACCUCUGUCUGUCUGCAGCAGCCUAUUUUAAUGAGGGAGACGAGACCAAACUCUGUGUCCUGAGAGAAGAGCCUCAAAAAGAGAAUAAUAAAGUUGGACAAUCGACACAUGGAGGAUUGUGUCAGAGAAGUAAAUGGGGGCUCUUUUUUCUCCCAGAAAGGUCAAUUAUGUUCGGUGACAGCUUCCUCUCAGACGGAGGCCCAAAUUGGCAGGGGUGAGAAAAGAAGGUGAAUAAUUCUCUUCUGCAUUAACAUGGUUGGAAGACGGAUUGCCCUUUCGCGUCUAGAGAACGUGAGUCGAGGCCAAAGGAGCAGAGGUGAGAGAAGGCUUAAUUAAGUAAGCUGGGCUUGAAAAUCAGGAAAUAAGAGGUCAAUUUACAACUUAUGGAAUGGAGAGAUCAAAUCAACUCGCUGGCAAUUAACAAGGGAAUGAGUGAGAAUAAAAGAUGGGAUUCUGCUGCCGAGGGUCUCUUUUAGUACAAGUGCUGUAAAGGAUUAGUUAGAAGGUCAUCUAAAACCACGGAAUGACCUUGAAGAUUAGACCCCCACACAGACUCCACUCUCUCCCAGUGUAACCAAUCUAGGCUGCCCUAAGGAUGGAUCUGAGCUUCCUUUGAGGCCCACGGCAGCUCCGGCUGGGGCUCUUCUGCUCUGUGAGCUCCCGCGCUGAUCAACCUCUGUGUCAUUGUAUCGUUUACAGAAGGAGUGCUGAAAGGUUUUAAAGUGCAUACAUAAUGAAAUGUCUUUUCCUGCUUCAAGUUUUUGAAAAUCAGUGAACACUUUGUUUAAACAGACAAACUCCUGAUAUCAACCCUACCGAGAGCCAUCAUUUGAAACCUGGACAAGCAUCGUAACUAACCUGUUAUCAAAUCUGUCUGGAAGA
Megalobrama amblycephala (Wuchang bream) is the source of this 977-nucleotide long non-coding RNA. RefSeq lists it as uncharacterized. NCBI's taxonomy places the organism in Eukaryota, Metazoa, Chordata, Actinopteri, Cypriniformes, Xenocyprididae. The record is from RefSeq and is a predicted model, not a curated record. The transcript has 3 exons.